Molecule: long non-coding RNA, 798 nt
Organism: Nannospalax galili (Upper Galilee mountains blind mole rat)
Lineage: Eukaryota; Metazoa; Chordata; Mammalia; Rodentia; Spalacidae
Exons: 3
Source: RefSeq, a predicted model, not a curated record
CUCAAGCGUGGCCGGUGCCUGAGGAUGCCAUCUUUCCUGGGCUCUCUGCAUCUUGAGUAAUGAGUUUUGCAUUCUGAUCACGUCCGGUCUUUGGGUCUUUGAAAACUUAUCCGGACUUUGCAAGGAGAGAAGAAUCUCGACGAGUGAGGGCCCUUAAUUUUCUAGAACUACAACUGACUAAAUCAGAUACUACUUAGGAGACAAUUGAGACCUCAGUCUCCCCGCCCCGCGCCUCCCUGCAUCCUGGAUUUCCCCAGGAGCUCCCAGAGUGUCAAAGCCCGGUACCCGGGGUGGGGGUGGGGGCAGACCCUGAACCCUGAGCGCUAUUGCUGCGGGCAAGGGCAGGGGAAGCUGGUCCAGCGGGUCGGCAGAUGGAUCCACUAUGAUACGAAGGGCCAGCUACCUCAUACCCUCUCCCAUGUGAACUGAGCUGCUCCCAUCAUGCCCUUUUCACCACCAUGGACCGAAACUCUCUGAAACUAUGAAUACCCCAGACACUACUCAUCAAAGCUCAUUUUGCAUCAGUCAGAGACUAUUACCAAGUACCACAACUGGUCACAACGGACAUUGUCUAUGAAUUGCCAAGGCUUAAGUGACACAUCCAUAAUGCAACUUCUACACCUAAGGCUCAAGGAACAUAGAAUAAGGGUAAAGAAGAUGACGUUAAUGAAUCUCUUAGUUCUCAAUAAUGAAGCUCCUUCAUACAGCUGAGGGCCAGGGCAAAAAAGGUCACAUAUGGCAGAAGCAUAGAGAUCAAGAGUCUGCUGAAUGCUGGUCCUUGGACAGGACUCCUUUAUU